Camelina sativa (false flax) is the source of this 781-nucleotide long non-coding RNA. RefSeq lists it as uncharacterized. Lineage: Eukaryota; Viridiplantae; Streptophyta; Magnoliopsida; Brassicales; Brassicaceae. The record is from RefSeq and is a predicted model, not a curated record.
CUUACAAAUGUCGUAUACAAUCUUUUUUUUUUUUUUUUUUUUUUUAAUUAGUCCUCUUAGGUCUGUUCUUCCCACUUAAGGAGUUCACUCACUCAAACUUAUCUACCCGAGACAAGAAAAAUAAGCAUUUUUUUUUGUGCAAAUAGAAACAAGCAUAAGCAUCCUCAUUACAAGAUGUGUUGAAGGGGAAACAAAGCAAGCCAUCGGAUUGUGUCAGCGUUUUCUUUGUGAAGUUGACCAGAGUGUUUAAUUUGUAGAAUAUUUUGUAUCGUUUUUCUUUUUCGUGAUAAAGAUGUAUUAUAUAGAUGUAUGUGUGUAGAUGUAUAUAGGUUUGAAUGUAUAGAUGUAUGUAUAGAUGUUGUGAAUAUAUAGAUGUAUGUAUAGGGUGUGAAUGCAUAGAUGUAUGUAUAGGGUUGUGAAUAUAUAGAUGUAUGUAUAGGGUUGUGAAUAUAUAGAUGUAUGUAUAGGGUACAUAGAUGUAUAUAGGCUGCAUACGUAUGUGGGAGAGCGUAUAGAAGCGCGGAAUGCGUGACUAUAGAGUGUACGUAGUAGAGCGGGAGUGACAACGCGAGUAGACGAACGCGGAAAAACACUAACAAACACACCACAAAACGUUAGUCAAAACAUUAAAGAUUUGAAUGAAUGUUAUUAGACUGGGACGUACAAAUCGGUCACUAGCAUAGUCUGUCUUAAACAUUAAACCCCCACUUAACAAAAAAAAGAAUUACAGUGACGGAUUUGUCCAUCCCGUAUAAAUGGAGAAAGAAAAAUCGAAAUGUUA